AGGUUGAAUUGUCCAAGACCAAGGUCCAGCAUGAUUGCGAGGAGCCCUGGCUCACAGAUUUCUUGUGUCCUUACGUGGUGGCAGGAGCAUCACCCCUUGCUGCAAUCCAGGGACUUAAUCUGGGGCUUAAUGGAAGAAAUCGUGAUCCGUUUUGGUGUUGAAAGGAACCUGGCUGAUUCGGGUUUUACUGAGAGAUUGUAUUUGUAGACUGUACCUAAUGGGCAAUUAAAGGCUUUGUGAAGAUAA
This is a long non-coding RNA of Phacochoerus africanus (Common warthog), 246 nucleotides long. RefSeq lists it as uncharacterized. The transcript is spliced from 2 exons. NCBI's taxonomy places the organism in Eukaryota, Metazoa, Chordata, Mammalia, Artiodactyla, Suidae. The record is from RefSeq and is a predicted model, not a curated record.